Long non-coding RNA from Mauremys mutica (yellowpond turtle), 716 nucleotides. RefSeq lists it as uncharacterized. The transcript is spliced from 4 exons. The record is from RefSeq and is a predicted model, not a curated record. NCBI's taxonomy places the organism in Eukaryota, Metazoa, Chordata, Testudines, Geoemydidae.
GAUAUUUAUGUACUGGCAGAUGGGGGUUUUUUUUGUUUUUUUUUUAACAUUCAAAUGCAUUUUUUUUUAAUAUUCAAAUGCAUUUUGUGCACAAUGACAUAGAAAAGCACAUCUCAUCGGCGUCCGCACCGCUGUAGCACAUCUGGUGAAGACUCUAUAUGCAGACAGGAGCUGUCCCAUCGUUAUAAUUACUCCACCUCUAUGAGAGGCGGUAGCUGUGUCAGCAGGAAAGUGUCUCCCACCGACAUAGCACUGUCCACGUCGGCACUUAGGUCGCUAAUGCCUGUGGUCAUCUGGCUUUGAAAAAUCCUGCUUUUCAAACCAGCAAUUUUCCUUGUUUACGCAUUAAAAGAAACAGAUGCUGCACUUUAUCGUUGGCAUGGCCCUACUAUGGAGGAAAGACACAGGUAGAAGAGGAAGAGCCUGAUAGUUGUAUGAGAAACUGGGAAAGUCUAAAGCUUUGAGGCAGGAAAGAUGGCUAAAAAAAGUUCACUAACUGACAGAUGGUGUGUCUUGCCAUAAAAUGCUUCCUCAUAGUGUCCUCAGCAGAGAGAAUAGUUGCUUAAUGGCCAUGGGAACUGAGCUACCCUGAAAUGAAGUCCCUUCAAGAAAAGGCUGAGUCAUACACCCCCAAGGCAGCAGGGGGUAAGCGUGCAUAACAGUUACUUGUACUGUACCUUGUUUGUGGCUAGGACUAGGACAUGGAUAUAUAGUGC